This 447-nucleotide ribosomal RNA is filed under the name uncultured bacterium. RNAcentral describes it as "bacterial SSU rRNA". It matches the Rfam family "Bacterial small subunit ribosomal RNA", at positions 355 to 825 of the family's 1533-position model. The record is from RNAcentral.
UGGGGAAUAUUGGACAAUGGGCGAAAGCCUGAUCCAGCCAUGCCGCGUGAGUGACGAAGGCCUUAGGGUUGUAAAACUCUUUCGUCGGGGACGAUAAUGACGGUACCCGAAGAAGAAGCUCCGGCUAACUUCGUGCCAGCAGCCGCGGUAAUACGAAGGGAGCUAGCGUUGUUCGGAAUCACUGGGCGUAAAGCGCACGUAGGCGGAUAGUUAAGUCAGGGGUGAAAUCCCGGAGCUCAACUUCGGAACUGCCUUUGAUACUGGCAAUCUCGAGUCCGGAAGAGGUUAGUGGAAUUCCCAGUGUAGAGGUGAAAUUCGUAGAUAUUGGGAAGAACACCAGUGGCGAAGGCGGCUAACUGGUCCGGUACUGACGCUGAGGUGCGAAAGCGUGGGGAGCAAACAGGAUUAGAUACCCAUGUAGUCCCUGAGCGGGCUGGCAAGGCGCAU